This 433-nucleotide ribosomal RNA is filed under the name uncultured bacterium. Its description in RNAcentral is "partial 16S ribosomal RNA". It matches the Rfam family "Bacterial small subunit ribosomal RNA", at positions 29 to 507 of the family's 1533-position model. The record is from RNAcentral.
AACGAACGCUGGCGGCAUGCCUAACACAUGCAAGUCGAACGGGACCUUCGGGUCUAGUGGCGCACGGGUGCGUAACGCGUGGGAACCUGCCCUUAGGUUCGGAAUAACUCCCCGAAAGGGGUGCUAAUACCGGAUAAUGUCUUCGGACCAAAGAUUUAUCGCCUUUGGAUGGGCCCGCGUUGGAUUAGCUAGUUGGUAGGGUAAAAGCCUACCAAGGCGACGAUCCAUAGCUGGUCUGAGAGGAUGAUCAGCUACACUGGGACUGAGACACGGCCCAGACUCCUACGGGAGGCAGCAGUGGGGAAUAUUGGACAAUGGGCGAAAGCCUGAUCCAGCAAUGCCGCGUGAGUGAUGAAGGCCUUAGGGUUGUAAAGCUCUUUUACCCGGGAUGAUAAUGACAGUACCGGGAGAAUAAGCUCCGGCUAACUCCGUG